UGGCUCAGUGGUAGAGUGCUUGCCUUGCAUGCAUGAGGCCCUGGGUUCGAUCCUCAG
RNAcentral lists this transfer RNA (57 nucleotides) under Dipodomys ordii (Ord's kangaroo rat). It matches the Rfam family "tRNA", at positions 8 to 63 of the family's 71-position model. Rfam says of the family: Transfer RNA (tRNA) molecules are approximately 80 nucleotides in length. Their secondary structure includes four short double-helical elements and three loops (D, anti-codon, and T loops). Lineage: Eukaryota; Metazoa; Chordata; Mammalia; Rodentia; Heteromyidae. The record is from Rfam by way of RNAcentral.